This is an RNA transcript of Prunus avium (sweet cherry), 1188 nucleotides long. It is a transcript of the gene named LURP-one-like protein (DUF567), with no coding region annotated. The record is from RefSeq and is a predicted model, not a curated record. NCBI's taxonomy places the organism in Eukaryota, Viridiplantae, Streptophyta, Magnoliopsida, Rosales, Rosaceae.
CUCAUCUUCCAAUUGGGACCAAGUCGAGCUGGAAAAUUCAGUUCCAAGUCACCGGCUUUCUCUUUUGUAAUAAAGCCGGCUGAAGAACCAGGCUCUGAUUUUUUCCACCUGUCAGACCAAAACCCAUUUGUUUCCACGCCAAAUUCUAAAACCCAAUUGUCUCAACACCAAAUUAUCUCUCUUUUGCUCUCAAAGUUUUGGUUUAUCAUGCUCUGGGAUUCAAAUGAAUUCCUUGCUUCUGUAAAUUGGUCUCAACAACAUGACUGACUUAAUGGAAACAUCAGUUCCUGUUUCCUGCACGAAUUCACAAAUCCCGGUCGAUCUUUUUGUGUCCAAGAAACAUCCUGGCUUGCCACGUGGUGAAUUGGGUUUCGUUGAUUCUUCUGGUAACACCGUUUACAAGGUCACUCGUCAAUCUCUGACGUCUUCAUCUAAUAAGCGUGUGUUGCUUGACGCCGCCGGAAAUCCUCUGUUUGCUUUGUGCCGUAACGAUAAGGGAUGUUGGCAAGGAUAUAAGGGUGGUGAUGCUGGGGAGAAGGACUUGGUGUUCAGAGUGAAGAGGACGAAAAGUAAACUUACCAGAACUGAGUUGGAGGUUUUUCUUGUUGGUGAGAAUUCAGCAGAUUCAACCUGUGAUUUCAAAGUGAAAGGCUUCCCUUACCAAAGAUCUUGCACAAUCUACACAGGCAAUGACAUAGUUGCUCAGACUAGUCUGAUGUACAAAUUGCACCAGCUUUUUCCAAAGAGGGGAAAGUUUCGAUUGACUAUAUUUCCCGGAUCUGUCCAUCAUGCUUUGGUUGCGGCUUUGAUUGUAAUAUUUCUGGAUUGAUUGAGGAUUAUAGAAGAACUGGUAUUCAAACAACUUUCAAAAUUCUCAACACCAAAUGAUGCCACAACGUAACAGGGGCACAGAAUCAACAAGACAUGAAGCAGUUAAAUCCCUGGCUGCAAACCUUUAUGAUUUUUUGAAGUUUGCAACAUGGGGCUUGGAUCUUACAGGGGCCCAAUGUGUUGGUGUAUUUAAAUUCCCUUGUGGUUUUCUCUUUUUAUAGUACUGGGAUGUGUUCCUCAACCAAACCAGGACAAAAAGAUAUGAGCAAAUGAUCUUUCCUUCUUUCUCUCCUUUGGAUUGUUACUACAGAGAUGAGAGCAUGAGAGAAUGGGAACAUUUCCUUUUUUUGAAAAAAA